Long non-coding RNA from Mauremys mutica (yellowpond turtle), 169 nucleotides. RefSeq lists it as uncharacterized. The transcript is spliced from 3 exons. The record is from RefSeq and is a predicted model, not a curated record. NCBI's taxonomy places the organism in Eukaryota, Metazoa, Chordata, Testudines, Geoemydidae.
GGUCACUUUCUAUCCACUUCUCAGGCACUGUGAGGCUGCAGAAUGACGUCCAAGUUUCAGUCAAGCUCAUCCCAUCCUCCCAUGGGACAUAGAAGAGAGAUGGCUGCAAAGGAGUCAGUCCAGGGGCCGGUGACCUUCGAGGAGGUGGCUGUGUAUUUCACCAGGGGAG